Molecule: ribosomal RNA, 426 nt
Filed under: uncultured bacterium
Lineage: Bacteria
Description: partial 16S ribosomal RNA
Rfam family: Bacterial small subunit ribosomal RNA
Source: RNAcentral
GUGAGGAAUUUUCCGCAAUGGGCGAAAGCCUGACGGAGCAAUGCCGCGUGAAGGAUGAAGGCCUAUGGGUUGUAAACUUCUUUUCUUAGAGAAGAAUAUUGACGGUAUCUGAGGAAUAAGCAUCGGCUAACUCUGUGCCAGCAGCCGCGGUAAGACAGAGGAUGCAAGCGUUAUCCGGAAUGAUUGGGCGUAAAGCGUCUGUAGGUGGCUUCAAAAGUCUCCUGUCAAAGAUCAGGGCUUAACGCUGGGACGGCAGGUGAAACUCUUAGGCUAGAGUUUGGUAGGGGCAGAGGGAAUUCCCGGUGGAGCGGUAAAAUGCGUAGGGAUCGGGAGGAACACCAAAGGAGAAAGCACUCUGCUGGGCCACAACUGACACUGAGAGACGAAAGCGAGGGGAGCAAAAGGGAUUAGAAACCCUAGUAGUCC